CGCUGGCGGCAGGCCUAACACAUGCAAGUCGAGCGGAUGACGGGAGCUUGCUCCUUGAUUCAGCGGCGGACGGGUGAGUAAUGCCUAGGAAUCUGCCUGGUAGUGGGGGACAACGUUUCGAAAGGAACGCUAAUACCGCAUACGUCCUACGGGAGAAAGCAGGGGACCUUCGGGCCUUGCGCUAUCAGAUGAGCCUAGGUCGGAUUAGCUAGUUGGUGGGGUAAUGGCUCACCAAGGCGACGAUCCGUAACUGGUCUGAGAGGAUGAUCAGUCACACUGGAACUGAGACACGGUCCAGACUCCUACGGGAGGCAGCAGUGGGGAAUAUUGGACAAUGGGCGAAAGCCUGAUCCAGCCAUGCCGCGUGUGUGAAGAAGGUCUUCGGAUUGUAAAGCACUUUAAGUUGGGAGGAAGGGCAGUAAGUUAAUACCUUGCUGUUUUGACGUUACCGACAGAAUAAGCACCGGCUAACUCUGUGCCAGCAGCCGCGGUAAUACAGAGGGUGCAAGCGUUAAUCGGAAUUACUGGGCGUAAAGCGCGCGUAGGUGGUUCGUUAAGUUGGAUGUGAAAGCCCCGGGCUCAACCUGGGAACUGCAUCCAAAACUGGCGAGCUAGAGUACGGUAGAGGGUGGUGGAAUUUCCUGUGUAGCGGUGAAAUGCGUAGAUAUAGGAAGGAACACCAGUGGCGAAGGCGACCACCUGGACUGAUACUGACACUGAGGUGCGAAAGCGUGGGGAGCAAACAGGAUUAGAUACCCUGGUAGUCCACGCCGUAAACGAUGUCAACUAGCCGUUGGAAUCCUUGAGAUUUUAGUGGCGCAGCUAACGCAUUAAGUUGACCGCCUGGGGAGUACGGCCGCAAGGUUAAACUCAAAUGAAUUGACGGGGGCCCGCACAAGCCGGCGGAGCAUGUGGUUUAUUCGAAGCAACGCGAGAACCUUACCAGGGCCUGGACAUGCAGAGAACCUUCCAGAGAUCG
RNAcentral lists this ribosomal RNA (979 nucleotides) under bacterium R-5(2011). RNAcentral describes it as "bacterial SSU rRNA". It matches the Rfam family "Bacterial small subunit ribosomal RNA", at positions 34 to 1009 of the family's 1533-position model. The record is from RNAcentral.